This 497-nucleotide ribosomal RNA is filed under the name uncultured bacterium. Its description in RNAcentral is "partial 16S ribosomal RNA". It matches the Rfam family "Bacterial small subunit ribosomal RNA", at positions 28 to 507 of the family's 1533-position model. The record is from RNAcentral.
GAUGAACGCUGGCGGCGUGCCUAAUACAUGCAAGUCGAGCGAACGGACGAGAAGCUUGCUUCUCUGAUGUUAGCGGCGGACGGGUGAGUAACACGUGGAUAACCUACCUAUAAGACUGGGAUAACUUCGGGAAGCCGGAGCUAAUACCGGAUGAUAUUUUGAACCGCAUGGUUCAAAAGUGAAAGACGGUCUUGCUGUCACUUAUAGAUGGAUCCGCGCUGUAUUAGCUAGUUGGUAAGGUAACGGCUUACCAAGGCAACGAUGCAUAGCCGACCUGAGAGGGUGAUCGGCCACACUGGAACUGAGACACGGUCCAGACUCCUACGGGAGGCAGCAGUAGGGAAUCUUCCGCAAUGGGCGAAAGCCUGACGGAGCAACGCCGCGUGAGUGAUGAAGGUCUUCGGAUCGUAAAACUCUGUUAUUAGGGAAGAACAUAUGUGUAAGUAACUGUGCACAUCUUGACGGUACCUAAUCAGAAAGCCACGGCUAACUACGUG